Rhipicephalus sanguineus (brown dog tick) is the source of this 1046-nucleotide long non-coding RNA. RefSeq lists it as uncharacterized. The transcript has 5 exons. The record is from RefSeq and is a predicted model, not a curated record. NCBI's taxonomy places the organism in Eukaryota, Metazoa, Arthropoda, Arachnida, Ixodida, Ixodidae.
UCAGCGCGAUAGAAAAAAAAUGUACCGGCGUGGGGAAUCGAAGGUGGUGCCGUGAUAAGUUCGUUCCGCGCUUGUAUAUUUGCGGUGUUUAUUGAUAUUAUGUGUGCCAAUCAUCGUUGUCAGUCGUCGACUGGAAGUGUAUCGCGUGUGGGAUGGAAUGGGCGGCCAAAGGUGUGUCAAGAUUUUGUGUUGGUGUUCUGUGGUGUGUCGUCGUAGCCUCAACGGGCUCGUCGCUUUGUCUGCGCGCUCAGCGCUGCGUGAUCGGCGUGCUUUCCACGUUUCUUGAUUACUCACGGUUAUUGCGUGGUUCAAUCGAGUGCAUCUACUCAGACAGUCCACCGCCCAGUGCCUUGUCUGACGACGACGGCGACUGUAAAGCACAAGCGUGCGCCUCAGCGGAUGCCUAGAAUGGCCCACGAACCCAACUUCCGAGCGGCACGCCUACCGGCCGAACAUCGGAGUGACCCGCCUGUGCGCAGCUUGAUCUGCCUACCACGCGUCGGCCUUGGUCAUCAUCUCACCGGCCUCGCCUUUCAUCUCUACCACCUGGAAAGCCGGCGUGGCCGACGGAGCAUAGACGACUGACUGUUCAAGGAACUGAAGCAGUGGACAGCUUGCUGUGAAAGAUGGGAGCAUUCUUCCUCUGGUCUGGACAAGCCCAUAUUAAGUGGGAGAUGUUCAAUAUCAACCCGAUGAGAGGCAGCAAAUGUGGAAAUGGACGCAAGUCAAGGACAGCUGCAGACAGCAAAAUAUUGAAACUGAUACAACGAUUGUGCUGAAUCACCGAAGAUAUGAGCCAGAGUGCGAACAGUAUACUCGUACAGUUUCGCAGAAUAAACCCCAUCUUUAUGCGUUCAGAGCAGCUGGAUGUUCACUGUUUACUUGGCAAGAAGUAGUAUGUAUGCAUGCUUCCUGCCACAGCUAUGUGCUGUCCCACACUUUGUGGGAAACACUGAAUUCUGCAUUUGCUGAGAAAUAUAUGUGCCAAAUAGUGCAUUUUGUUGCUUUGCAGUCACCAAUGCACACAAGUUGACCCCACACUGUAC